RNAcentral lists this transfer RNA (67 nucleotides) under Actinomadura citrea. RNAcentral describes it as "tRNA-OTHER". It matches the Rfam family "transfer-messenger RNA", at positions 306 to 374 of the family's 374-position model. From Rfam's summary of the family: Bacterial tmRNA, also known as 10Sa RNA or SsrA, is named for its dual tRNA and mRNA-like properties. Its role is to liberate the mRNA from a stalled ribosome. The record is from RNAcentral. Lineage: Bacteria; Bacillati; Actinomycetota; Actinomycetes; Streptosporangiales; Thermomonosporaceae.
GGCUGCACCCGGAGAAGCCCUGACCCAUCACCGAAGGACGCGGGUUCGAUUCCCGCCACCUCCACCA